CACAAGUUUCCCCUUUGCCCGAGAGCUUCGUUCACUCCAAUGGUUUCCCAACCUCCAGGGAUGCCGUGCGGUGACUCAAUAGAAACUGGGCUCACCGAAAAGGCAGCAAGGGUGAUACCUUCUCUCGUUCUUCCAUGCUUGACCACGGCCAAUCGCUGGCUUUCCUCUUGGACGGCUGUUUGGUAGAUCCGGCCUAGUGAUGACAUCGGAUUCAUCGCCAAGAUCUCCAAUCGAAAGGUGGCCUCGAGUUCGUACAUCUCACGAAUGUUUGCUCAGAUUGUCCUUGAGUCCUCAGUCAGUGAAAGCCUAGCUGCAACAUCUAGAGCGAGACACUUGCCGAUCCAGGUACGCAUUAAUUGAUUGCAUUUUCGUUAGUGAUGUUGGAGUCGUUUGUCGGUCAGAAAAGGGAUGGCUCCAUUGUUGUUAGUUAAAUAAAAUCUAUUGAACCAUCUUAAUCCUCGUUUGAGAAAUUAAAGAGGUGAAAAAGAAGCUUAUUUCAUCAAGAUGAUGAAAGAAGUUUCUCUAAGCAAUAUCACAUGCAAAUAUACCCAUAAUCUAUUUCUUUUCAAACUCAAUUAACCAUGAUCAUUGAUGGUAUCCCAAAUGGGCCAAAAAGCUGCAAAUAUAUCCAUCGUCUAAUGAUUUCUUUUGAAGUUUACAAGGCAAUGGUCAGAAGGCCUUGGUCCUGGUAGGUACACCAUUGGGCUAUUUGGGUUGAGCCUUUCCAUACUGCACCCAAAAAAAAAAAAAUCAUUAUAAUAAAAACAAUAUAUCAUAAAUUCAUUCACAUUUUAAUUUUAUGCUCUAAGUUUUGGUAUUUAGGGGGGGUAAAAGCAGGCUUAAAGAAUAAGAACAACUCACUCGUAGUGAAGUACAAAAUGAUGGAGAAAAUGGACAUUUCAAGCUUUGCCAAGUCCAUUCCAGGGCACAAUUUGCUUCCCCCUCCAAAUGGUAGGAAAGUUCCUGCUUUUGCCUUGACAGUUUGCUACCAACACAUAAGCCACAACUAAAUGUAUAUAAGAUAUAAGUAUAUGUAUAUGCACGUGCAUAAGCGCAAGCGAGCAGUGUGCUCGCACAUAGGGAAAGAUAGACUAAGGAAAAAUUGUCCAAUUAUUCCUAAAUUUACGGCAUAGAUGUCAAUUUUGUCUUAAAUAUUUAAAUUUUGCCAUUUUAAUCCUAAAUCUUUCCCCAAAAUUUCAAUGAAAUCCUUCCAGCCAAUUUUUGUUGGCAACCACUACCAUGAUCGUAUGUCAUGUAGGACAGACGUUGGUGACUGGACCACCACGUCAACGACUUCUAGCAAAAAUUGGCCGAAAUGACUACGUUGGAAUUUUGAGCAAGGGUUUAGACUAAAUUGGUAAAAUUAGAAAGUUUAGGAUUGAAUGCACAUUUGUACAAUAGGUUCAGGACUGAUUGAGUAAUUUUUCUGAUGGAUUACUUACUUCCCAUCUCGAGGGGUUGAAUUCUUCUGGUUUCGAGUAGUUCUCAGGAUCGACAUGAAUCACCCUUAAAUAAACUACUACUCUCCAACCUCUUGGUACAAGAUAGCCUGUAAUUGACACAUGAAGGUCAUGCCUAUCUCUCGAACGAGUUCCUCUAAUCAAUACCAACGAAGAGAUUCAUUUUUCAAAAUCCAUUUUACCAACCAUCGAUGUCCACAUCAGCUGUUGCCUCUCGGAACACUGCGAAAGAGAGAUUGCCUCUUCGUAGCGUUUCAUCAACCACCUAGGUCAUAGCAUAGAGUGAGCGCUUCAUAAGUAAGCUCGUUAUACAGAAAGUCCAAAAUGUGAUCUGUGUACCGAUUCGAAGUAAUAUGCUUUUCUGUCUAUGUCAAAAUCUAAAGUUAAAGUAGUGCUUUUGGUCAUAUUUCUUGAAAUCUUUUUUUAAUCCUCUGUAAGAAUAUUUCCUUUUGAUUGGCGGUUACAACCACAGAUAAUCAUCAUCAUUUAUAUUUAAUCAACUUUCCAUAUGAGUUUAUAAAACGUUAGUCACCAGUCCAAAACAGAAGUUCUUUUUUAGCUUUCUCGUAAAAGUUAAUAUCAUCUAAAUAAAAAAAAAAAAAAAAAAAAAUAAAAACAUUAUGUGCUGGAAUUUUGCUAUGUGACAACAUUUAUAUUUUGUGAAUGUUACAAGUGCUCUAAUUAAAAAAGUUUAAAAAAACGCAUGCGCUGCAAGAUUUAAAUAAAAGAGAAAAGUAAAUGUCAUUUUAAACAGGCGUCACAAAUUUUAGAUUCAUUAAAAGAUCAAGUAAAAAGAAAAGGAGAUAGAGAGAUUGUGUGAUAUUGUAAACAAAGAUGAUUACGUACCAUGGACAGAUAAUUCAUUUGUCUUAUCUCCUUGAGAGUCAGUCCUUUCUGUGUAGGUGGUCUCCUCCUAAUAAUCUCCUCUUGCUCUUUCUGAUAGAUGGAGUAGAAUUCACUUCGCUAAUACACUUCGACAGUCAUGACUAAUAAAACUCUUGUUUCAUUCAAGCCACUAUGAAGGAAUAAGUUGCUUAAUUCGGAUUGCUUCCCCCGUCAUCUUUAAGAUCCAUAAUGAGAAUGUGAAUAGUCAAUAUAAUAGGUCAACCGAGGUUUGUCACAAUGGGCACAAAUUUCGUAAUUCAAGCACUUCCCAGAUUUAAAGUCGGGACCAAAAUGAUCAUUGUAAUAGACCCCCAAAAAGAGAGAUCUUUGCGUGACGUGAUUAGCAUUUAUAAAUGUUGUUGAGCAUAGAUGAGCCAUCUAAUUAUCUUUGAAGGGUAAAUCAGACAUUAUCAUAUGAAAUGGCCUCGCUGUCCAAGGAAAUCUGAGUAAGCUUUAUUGAAAUGUCCCUGCAAGAAGUGAUGUUGUCUAACCUUCAGUUUUUGGAGAAUCUCAGGAUGUUCUUUGAGGAAGAUGGCAGCCCACAUUGUGGCAUGAGCUGAGGUUUCAUGGCCAGCAAGCAAGAACAUGAGAGAAACGUCAAUGAUGGUCUCCUCAUCCAAUUUCUCACCAUUUUCAUCUUCCACUUCCAUUAAUAAAUCCAACACAUCCUUUUCCUCAAUUGCCCGCUCUUUCUUAUUUUUCACCCUCCUCCUCUCAUCCAAAUUAGCUCGAAGGAUCUUAACCAAUUCUCUUCUUGCCUAAGACAACAUUUUUGUGACUUUAUACUGUAAAGCAACUUCAUCAAUUCAAAUUACAUUACAAAAAGGUUGACGUUGGAAAUUCUA
This is a long non-coding RNA of Eucalyptus grandis, 3190 nucleotides long. RefSeq lists it as uncharacterized. The transcript has 2 exons. The record is from RefSeq and is a predicted model, not a curated record. Lineage: Eukaryota; Viridiplantae; Streptophyta; Magnoliopsida; Myrtales; Myrtaceae.